This 322-nucleotide long non-coding RNA is filed under the name Vigna radiata. RNAcentral's name for it is "long non-coding RNA (VRAD_LNC011016)". The record is from RNAcentral. Lineage: Eukaryota; Viridiplantae; Streptophyta; Magnoliopsida; Fabales; Fabaceae.
CUGAAUAGUGCUUGCUUUAUAUCUUCCGGGCUCGUACAAUUUCUCUGCUCAGCUGCCUAAGACCAUUAUGACAAUAAGGUAAAAAAGUAACACAUUUGAUUCCAGUCAUCAUGUAAAUCAAUAGAGACCACUAAAAUAAGUUACAGAAUGCAACUUUGUACAAACCUCAGAGCAGGUUGCUUGCAUUGAAAAAUCAUUGAAGUUGCUUAUAACACACUGAUGAAUCUCAAGGCCUAAUGCUUCUAGGGUAUUCACUGUGGACAGGAGUAAUCCUAGCUUUGUGGCACAGCAGAUGCUAAUCCUUGUGUCAUGCUGUCUUCUC